GUGGGGAAUAUUGGACAAUGGGCGAAAGCCUGAUCCAGCCAUGCCGCGUGUGUGAAGAAGGUCUUCGGAUUGUAAAGCACUUUAAGUUGGGAGGAAGGGCAGUAAGUUAAUACCUUGCUGUUUUGACGUUACCGACAGAAUAAGCACCGGCUAACUUCGUGCCAGCAGCCGCGGUAAUACGAAGGGUGCAAGCGUUAAUCGGAAUUACUGGGCGUAAAGCGCGCGUAGGUGGUUUUGUAAGUUGAAGGUGAAAUCCCCGGGCUCAACCUGGGAACUGCCUCCAAAACUACUGAGCUAGAGUACGGUAGAGGGUAGUGGAAUUUCCUGUGUAGCGGUGAAAUGCGUAGAUAUAGGAAGGAACACCAGUGGCGAAGGCGACUACCUGGACUGAUACUGACACUGAGGUGCGAAAGCGUGGGGAGCAAACAGGAUUAGAAACCCGGGUAGUCC
RNAcentral lists this ribosomal RNA (450 nucleotides) under uncultured bacterium. Its description in RNAcentral is "partial 16S ribosomal RNA". It matches the Rfam family "Bacterial small subunit ribosomal RNA", at positions 354 to 796 of the family's 1533-position model. The record is from RNAcentral.